Molecule: long non-coding RNA, 1295 nt
Organism: Sciurus carolinensis (gray squirrel)
Lineage: Eukaryota; Metazoa; Chordata; Mammalia; Rodentia; Sciuridae
Exons: 3
Source: RefSeq, a predicted model, not a curated record
ACAGCAGCCUCAGCAGACUAAGACAAACAGCAGAGAAGUAACAAGGGACUUUACAAACAUCAGUUCAUGAAGUCCUCAUUACAACAUAAGGCAAGUUCCACUUUCAGAAGAGGAAAUGGGGCCCACAGAAGCUCAGGACCUGCCCAGAGUCACAUAACAGAGACGGGACUGGAGACUCAGCACUGGGCCAUGUCAUCCUCGCUGUGCUCCCUCCCUGCGCUCUGCUAGGGGGCACUGAGCGUUCUUCAUGCCCCAUCAGGAAUCCAUUCUGCGAAAGAAUUAAUUUUUAAAACAUGACACCAUUAAACAAGCAGCCAGCUACUUCAACACAAGACACCAACCAGAAGACGAGGCGAGCCUCAGGCAUCUUCAAAGGAGGGUGAUUGGAAGCGAGUCCCGGUACGAGGCCAGGCCCGGAGCCCACGGAGGUCAGGAAGAAGAUGGGGAGGACCAGGGCUCACUAGUGGCCAGAAGAGGAGGAAGGGAAAGAGAAAGGAAGCAUUCAGCAUGGAAGUGGACCUUGGUUAUAACCCAACAACAUCAUCCCACCAACGAGGAACCAGGCCUGCAGAGUUGGCAACCUCCAAGAUCAGACAGGGAUCUUGCUAAGUUGCUGAGGCUGGCCUUGAACUUGUGAUCCACCUGCCUUAGCCUGCCGAGUUGCUGGGAUUACCGGCCUGUGCCACCACACCCAGCUCCAGUUUUCUAAUUUGAAUAAAAGGAAGCCACUGUCCUGGACUCUCGAUGCUAUGGAAGAAAGAAGCUCCUGGCCUGCCUGGAGCCUCACUUCAGGAUCAACAGCUAAAGCAGAGACUGUCACUCUGCCCAGGAGAAACCAGAGCGUGUGCUUCCCCCACUCCUCUGCCUCUCUCUUCUCCCCUGCACACACCCACCUACCUUUCCCUGGGGACCAUUCGCCUACUGGUCUGUUGGUUCAUCAGCUUGCACCUGUCUGCCAUGAUGCUUCUGCCUUUAGACUUCUGUAAUGCGCUGUUUCCAGUCUAGAACCUGACUCUCUGUCCCUUUUCCAGACCAACAGCUAUUAUUUGCUUCUCAUUAUCAGCAUCACAGUGGGGCCUUUCCUAAUCCCCAAGACAGAGUUAACUGUUCCUUCGACAUAUGUGCCCUAUUACAUACUGUGCCCAUUGCCUUGGGUUGGAACAGCUAUCUUCCUCACCAGAGGAAACUCCCUGGCAGAUUCUGGGUUUUGUUCACUAUUGAUCUCCACUACUAGCCCAGUAUGUAGUAGGCCUCAAUAAUAUUAGUUCAAUAUUGUUCUAGACCCUAUAAGAACU